RNAcentral lists this ribosomal RNA (216 nucleotides) under Glomeromycotina sp. Its description in RNAcentral is "partial small subunit ribosomal RNA". The stretch from base 40 to 216 matches the Rfam family "Eukaryotic small subunit ribosomal RNA", at positions 686 to 864 of the family's 1831-position model. The record is from RNAcentral. Lineage: Eukaryota; Fungi; Glomeromycota.
GGGUCAGUAGGUUGGUCGUGCCACCGGUACGUACUGGUCUCACUGAUUCCUCCUUCCUGAAGAACCGUAAUGCCAUUAAUUUGGUGGUGCGGGGAAACAGGACUGUUACUUUGAAAAAAGUAGAGUUUUUAAAGCAAGCUAACGCUUGAAUACAUUAGCAUGGAAUAAUGAAAUAGGACGAUCGAUCCUAUUUUGUUGGUUUCUAGGAUUGACGUA